GAUGAACGCUGGCGGCGUGCCUAAUACAUGCAAGUCGAGCGAACAGACGAGGAGCUUGCUCCUCUGACGUUAGCGGCGGACGGGUGAGUAACACGUGGAUAACCUACCUAUAAGACUGGGAUAACCUCGGGAAACCGGAGCUAACACCGGAUAAUAUAUUGAACCGCAUGGUUCAAUAGUGAAAGACGGUUUUGCUGUCACUUAUAGAUGGAUCCGCGCCGCAUUAUCUAGUUGGUAGGGUCACGGCUUACCAAGGCAACGAUGCGUCGCAGACCUGAGAGAGUGGUCGGCCGACCUGGAAGUGAGACACGGUCCAGAAUCCUAAGGGAGGCAGCAGUAGGGAAUCUUCGGCAAUAGGCGGAAACAUGGCGGAGCAACGCCGCGUGAGUGACGAAGGUGUUCGGAUCGUAAAACUGUGUUAUUAGGGAGGAACAAAUGUGUCAGUAACUAUGCACGUGUUGACGGUAACGGGUCAGAAAGCGACGGCUAACUACGUG
RNAcentral lists this ribosomal RNA (497 nucleotides) under uncultured bacterium. RNAcentral's name for it is "partial 16S ribosomal RNA". It matches the Rfam family "Bacterial small subunit ribosomal RNA", at positions 28 to 507 of the family's 1533-position model. The record is from RNAcentral.